UGCCUAAAAAACCAUCAGAUUUAACUCAAUUAUUUGAUUUUCGGGAAAUCAAUUCCCUACUU
RNAcentral lists this transfer RNA (62 nucleotides) under Pelagophyceae sp. RCC2696. Lineage: Eukaryota; Pelagophyceae. The record is from RNAcentral.